GUGCUGGCUUUGGCAGCACAUGUACUAAAACUGGAACAAUAGAAGAUUAGCAUGGCCCCUGGGCAAGGAUGGCACUCAAAUUCGUGAAGCAUUCCAUAUGAAA
Molecule: small nuclear RNA, 103 nt
Organism: Physeter macrocephalus (sperm whale)
Lineage: Eukaryota; Metazoa; Chordata; Mammalia; Artiodactyla; Physeteridae
Source: Ensembl